This 464-nucleotide ribosomal RNA is filed under the name uncultured bacterium. RNAcentral describes it as "partial 16S ribosomal RNA". It matches the Rfam family "Bacterial small subunit ribosomal RNA", at positions 331 to 792 of the family's 1533-position model. The record is from RNAcentral.
CCAGACUCCUACGGGAGGCAGCAGUGAGGAAUAUUGGUCAAUGGACGAGAGUCUGAACCAGCCAAGUAGCGUGAAGGAUGACUGCCCUAUGGGUUGUAAACUUCUUUUAUAUGGGAAUAAAAUGUUCCACGUGUGGGAUUUUGUAUGUACCAUAUGAAUAAGGAUCGGCUAACUCCGUGCCAGCAGCCGCGGUAAUACGGAGGAUCCGAGCGUUAUCCGGAUUUAUUGGGUUUAAAGGGAGCGUAGGUGGAUUGUUAAGUCAGUUGUGAAAGUUUGCGGCUCAACCGCGGAACUGCAUUUGAAACUGUCAGUCUUGAGUACCGGAGAGGUCAUCGGAAUUCCUUGUGUAGCGGUGAAAUGCGUAGAUAUAAGGAAGAACACCAGUGGCGAAGGCGGAUGACUGGACGGCAACUGACGGUGAGGCGCGAAAGCGUGGGGAGCAAACAGGAUUAGAUACCCCAGUA